Molecule: long non-coding RNA, 207 nt
Organism: Balaenoptera ricei (Rice's whale)
Lineage: Eukaryota; Metazoa; Chordata; Mammalia; Artiodactyla; Balaenopteridae
Exons: 3
Source: RefSeq, a predicted model, not a curated record
AACUCCAGAUCACUGACCCAUUUAGUAUCUUUAGGAGGAAAGGGAAAGCGAAGCUGAUCGGAAAGCAGACUGGGAAGAGGAAAUGUGGGAGAGGAAAAGGAAUUCCCCGGUUUCUCAUAGUCAAGAAGCAGGAGAGAAGGAGGCUGCAGACCACAGAAACUUCAGAAACUUUGAUUAACUGCACUCAUCAGGACUCUAAAGGCGCAG